This 496-nucleotide ribosomal RNA is filed under the name uncultured bacterium. RNAcentral's name for it is "partial 16S ribosomal RNA". It matches the Rfam family "Bacterial small subunit ribosomal RNA", at positions 28 to 506 of the family's 1533-position model. The record is from RNAcentral.
GAUGAACGCUGGCGGCGUGCCUAAUACAUGCAAGUCGAGCGAACGGACGAGAAGCUUGCUUCUCUGAUGUUAGCGGCGGACGAGUGAGUAACACGUGGAUAACCUACCUAUAAGACUGGGAUAACUUCGGGAAACCGGAGCUAAUACCGGAUAAUAUUUUGAACCGCAUGGUUCAAAAGUGAAAGACGGUCUUGCUGUCACUUAUAGAUGGAUCCGCGCUGCAUUAGCUAGUUGGUAAGGUAACGGCUUACCAAGGCAACGAUGCAUAGCCGACCUGAGAGGGGGAUCGGCCACACGGAAACUGAGACACGGUCCAGACUCCUAGGGGAGGCAGCAGUAGGGAAUCUUCCGCAAUGGGCGAAAGCCUGACGGAGCAACGCCGCGUGAGUGAUGAAGGUCUUCGGAUCGUAAAACUCUGUUAUUAGGGAAGAACAUAUGUGUAAGUAACUGUGCACAUCUGGACGGUACCUAAUCAGAAAGCCACGGCUAACUACGU